GAUGAACGCUGGCGGCGUGCCUAAUACAUGCAAGUCGAGCGAACGGACGAGAAGCUUGCUUCUCUGAUGUUAGCGGCGGACGGGUGAGUAACACGUGGAUAACCUACCUAUAAGACUGGGAUAACUUCGGGAAACCGGAGCUAAUACCGGAUAAUAUUUUGAACCGCAUGGUUCAAAAGUGAAAGACGGUCUUGCUGUCACUUAUAGAUGGAUCCGCGCUGCAUUAGCUAGUUGGUAAGGUAACGGCUUACCAAGGCAACGAUGCAUAGCCGACCUGAGAGGGUGAUCGGCCACACUGGAACUGAGACGCGGUCCAGACUCCUACGGGAGGCAGCAGUAGGGAAUCUUCCGCAAUGGGCGAGAGCCUGACGGAGCAACGCCGCGUGAGUGAUGAAGGUCUUCGGAUCGUAAAACUCUGUUAUUAGGGAAGAACAUAUGUGUAAGUAACUGUGCACAUCUUGACGGUACCUAAUCAGAAAGCCACGGCUAACUACGUG
RNAcentral lists this ribosomal RNA (497 nucleotides) under uncultured bacterium. Its description in RNAcentral is "partial 16S ribosomal RNA". It matches the Rfam family "Bacterial small subunit ribosomal RNA", at positions 28 to 507 of the family's 1533-position model. The record is from RNAcentral.